GACGAACGCUGGCGGCGUGCUUAACACAUGCAAGUCGAACGGAAAGGCCCGGCUUUUGUGGGGUGCUCGUUUGGCGAACAGGGGAGUAACACGUGAGUAAACUGUCCUUGACUUUGGGGUAACUUCUGGAAACUGCGGCUCAUACCGCAUAGGAGCUCCUGCUGCAUGGUGGGGGAUGGAAAGAUUCGGCGGUUGUGGCUUUACUCGCGGCUUAUCAGCUUGUUAGUGGAGUAGUGGCUUGCCGAGGUUUUGACGGGUAGCCGGCCUGAGCGGGUGACCGGCCACCCUGGGACUGAGGUGCGGCACAGGUUGCUACGCGAGGGAGCAGUGGGGAAUACUGCAGGAGGGGCGCAGGGCUGGUGAAGCAGCGCCGCGUGCCGGAAGACGGUCUUCUGGGUGUAAACCACUUGCGUCUGUGACGAAGCGUGAGUGACGGUAAUGGGUUAAGAAGCCCCCGCUAACUACGUG
RNAcentral lists this ribosomal RNA (468 nucleotides) under uncultured bacterium. Its description in RNAcentral is "partial 16S ribosomal RNA". It matches the Rfam family "Bacterial small subunit ribosomal RNA", at positions 28 to 507 of the family's 1533-position model. The record is from RNAcentral.